GGCUGCGCAGGAGCGGACAGCGGAGAGGCGGUACUGACCGGUGCGAGGCGGUGCUGACCGGUGCGGGCCGGUGCGGGCCAGUGCAGGCCAGGCCCGGCCGGGGCGAGGCAGGUGGCCAGGUCCGAGGACCGCGUCGCACAGCAGCUUUCAGGACCUGGAGAGAAAUCGAGGUGGGGGUGCGUGAACGUGGAUGGGCAGAAAUAACAUCUUUUGUACUCUAAUUGGAACAUAGCAUGUCCUUUAAUUAUGAACGCAAUGAGCUAUAGUAGCACUACUGAUUUCAGAGAUGGCGCAAUCUCGCUUUCCUUCCUUAGUACUUUGAAAUUGCAGUGGGUAUUAGACCCGCUGCUAGACCGUGUCAUUCACUGGGUUAAGAAGGAAGCCCAGGUAGCGCCACGUCACAGACCCCUUUUAGUAUUCUGAUAACUAUAAUUUAAAUCUAAUCGGCAUUUAAGAGCCUACAGGCUUGCCCAGACUGCCAAAGGCGUCUCUGGCACACACACACGCACACACACUAACAUGCACACAAGCAGACACACAUGCACGCAGACACGCACAUGAACACAUGCACACGCACACUUGCAUGUACACACGUGUGUACACAUACACACAUGCAUGGUUGAGAACCUCUCUGGAGAGGAAAGGCAACACCAGUGUGUCCGCUAUGUAGUGGUUUAUCAGACAGUUUAUUGUGGACAUGGACAUGAAUAAGAAAGGGGCACUGCUAAUUAGGCCAAGGCAGUGGAUAUGAGGUGGGACUGUCCCUAGCACACUGGGACCAGGGCUACCCUGAGGCCUGCAGGACACCGGGAGCUGUGUGUGAGUUUGCAUCUCUGUAGGCGCGUGGCUGUGAGUGUGGGGGAACCUGGUGAAACGCAUCUGAGGAGGGGAGGGGGUGUCUGCCACUGUUCUGGGUGUGUGUGUAUGUGUGUGUGUGUGUGUGUGUAUAGGGCAUUCUGAUCUCUAGUACCUGGGUUCUAGCAGAUGCCUGACCUACAGCCCUGUGUUCAGCCUGGUCAUUCCAGCUCUCAGAGAGACCUUGCCCAGCCAUUUCCUGGGGUAGCAAAUGGUCUGGAACCAGUCUGUCUUGCCUCCCCUGAGGGAGACAGGCGGGCUACUUGUGUAGCCUUCUUACCUCACUAAACUCUUCCUUCCUUCCAUGAUGAUCCCCGUUUUACAGACACAGAAACUGAGGCCCAGAAGAGCUGAAUAUUUGGCCCAGGCCACACAGGGAGUCCAGCCACGGGUGAUGAGGGGCUGAGGAUCGGGGAGGGACAGGAAACCUGGCCUUUCUGAGCCUUGCUGUCCUUAUCUGCUGCGUCAGGAGGUGAGAGGAAGAUGUUUGGGGCUGAGCUAGCAGAGAGGACACUGAGCUUUUGGCCUCUCCCCUGUGUAAACCCCACCAUGACUCCCCAUUGCCACGGCAUCAAGUCCCAGUUCCAUGGCCUGACAUUCCGGUCCCUGCCCCCUUCAGAUUCAUUGCCCAUCACUCCCCGUCCACUCCCUGCACUCCAGCCACCCUGGCCACCAGCCCUUCCUAGCACCCUCCAAGACCCUUCUCAUCUCCACGCCUCUGCCCAUUCUGUACCUGGCAAACUCCUACGCAUCCUGCAAUGCUCAGCUCUGAGCACCCCACACAGAGUUGGCAUCUGCCUGCUGUGUGCCCCCACCGCCCUCACACAUCCCUGCAGGUAGUCCUUCUCAGGACUGAUGCAGCAAAAUAAGAUCCGAGUCCCCAGCACCUAGCACCGUGCAUAAAGCAGGCACUAACAAAUGCGUGUCGAAUGAAUAAGCAAAUGUGUGCGUGCACACUCCACCCGCCCCCCUCCUCAUGAACUGCUUGAGAGAAGGGCUGGGUCCUUUCCAGCUACUCAGGUGGCAAUCGGAGUUUGUCCAAUGUCCAGGCUGGAGCCAGAGUUGAAGGGAGGAGCAGGCUGGGGGUGGUGGUGGCUGCAUUUGGUGUUAGGAGGCCCAGGCUGGGCCUGUGAGCUGGACACCCCACCCCAACACCUGAGGUAUCUGCUCCAGGUCCCUCUCUGCAUGCUCCUGGAUGGGGCUUGGCUGUGGCUUCCACUCAGGCCCCUGGAUAUCCCCACUGCAGCUUGGCCCUCUGUGACUCACUCUUUCUUGGCCCUAAAGGUCAGUGCAGGGCCAGGCCUCGUCCUCUUCUCUGUCCAUUUAUCAGGUCGGAAGCUCAAGGCUGACCUGGCUGGGGCCAAGGUUUAUGUGCUUGUUCACCCCACCCAGCACCUCUGACCUUGUGAAACAUGCCAGGAAGGGUGGGGACAGGAAGGUGACACUAGGGCCUCUGUGUCUGCCCCGGGGCACUGUCAGCUGGGUCAGGAUUUAUGCCCUGAUGUUCCCACCCCCAGACCUGGUCACCAGGCCCACGCCCUAGGUCUGGUGCUGAGCCAUCCCUGCAGGGGGCCCAGCAAAGCCUGAGGGCUGGGAGCUGGCUGGGGUGCGGGGUGGGCCGGGGUUGGGGGUUGGCAGGAGGCAACUGCAGAUUAGGUCCCAAGUGAACACUGCUAGCGUCUUUGUCCUGCUGAGAGACAUCGGCUGGGACAUCUUGCCUCCUGGGGCCUGUUUCCGCAACUGUAAAUGGGCAUUGCCUUAGUAGCCACCCUUUGGGGCUCUUGGAUAGCACAUGUCCACAGAACCUCAGCUAAUGUGCCUGCCUGCAGUGUUCCCCAUUUUCUUUUGGGGAGCUCCCCUUGCCAGUACCAACGCACAUGGUCUUUGCUGGGCCAUCCUUUGCACACUGUAUCUCCAGACCUGGGGCUUGAGAGGGCGCCUCCUCAACAAGGGCCCCAAACGUGGGCUGGGGCUCCAGGGGCAGGAGGUAAGGGAAGAGGUGGUUUUAGUGGGUUUGCUGGCAGCAAUCUGAAUCCAGGGGUUGCAGCGGAAGGAAUUGGAGAUGGGAGGAGGCGCAAGGCCAGUUGGAUCAGGGGAUACGCAGGAGAUGGUGUCUUUGGUCACCCAGUUGCUCAGUCGGAAACCUGGACAGCCUGGCCCCUGCCCGUCCCCUCAUCUCCUAGCCAGCGGUGAGUCUUGCACAGCCCUCCGCCCACCCACUCCAGCACUCGCCACUUCCUGCCUCUUCCCCUACCUCUACUGCCCCGGCCUGCUUCCACUACCUGCGUCUCUCACCGACGUCACUGCAAUCGCCUCCUCGGAGGCCUCUGCCUCCUCUCUUCUCCACACCCUCACCCUCCAUUGUCACUACCUUGCUCCUCACAGCUGGCUAAGCCAUUAUGACUAAUGACUGUUCUCAGCUCCCAGCCCCAUGGUUUCCAUCACACCAGGAUACAGUCACAUUCCUUGCCGUGGCCUGUGAGACCCACAGAGUCCUGGCACUGCCGCCCCCUGAACCUCCUCUCCCUCCCCUUUCUCUGCCGUGUCCACAGCUCAGUGAGCCCAUUCCCACCUCGGGGCCUUUGCACUUGCCGGUCCCUCUGCCUGGCACAUGCUGGCUUCAGUGUUCAUAAAGCUCCCUCCCUCCCGUCACUCAGGUCUCUCCUCAGAUGUCACCUCGUCAGAGUGGCCUGUGCUGACUGCCAUAUCUACAAUACCCUUCCCAACGCCUGGCAUCCGCCUCCUCACUCUUGUAUGAGUGUCUUCAAGGCACGUUCACUUGUGGCUAUUGCUUAAUAUAUUUAGUUGCAGGAGUAUAAUCUGGGGGCCCCUGGGAGACAGACCCUGGCAUGAUGGGUGUUGUGAUGGGGGAAACCGGGCCAUGUCCUGGGGACUGAGAGCAAGUUGCUGCCCUUCUGGGCCUCAGUUUCCCCUUCUGUUCCGUAAGGCCCAGGCUCUCUCCCUGCCCGCUCACGUGUCCUGGGAAUGCUGAGCCUUUGCUUUGUCCUGGAAGUGGGGUUGCCAUGGAAACAGAGGCAGGAGGCUCCAGCAGAGGCAGCAUCCGCCUCCCUUUGUUAGACCCAGGGCCUGCUUUCUGGGGGGCCCCCUUCUGUGGAGGAGUCUGUGCUUCUUGAGGGGCCAGUAGCCUCUACUUGGCCCUGCUCUGGCCGUCCUGCUCCCAGCCCCCAGCUUGCAAUUUGCUUCACUAGAUUGUAAAGCAGAUGAUGAAAGGGCAGUGUACCAGGUUAGGAGUGGAAGGUCAGGGGCAUCAGGACCCAGGGCACCGGGAAGCAGGAGUGUGUUCUCACCUCAAGUGGCUUUAGACAGUUCCCCCAUCGUCCUCUGUGCCCCUAGCCCUGGCACUCCCUCUGCACACAGCUCCGCUUUGAUCAAACCAGUGCCUGGCCCACCUCCCUGCUCCCAUGCCCACUGGGGCAGGAUGUGGGCUUGGCGGGGAGUGACACAUGGCAGCCCUAGGCGUGGCGACAACUGGAGACAUCCCGUCUGCCUCAGGUUCCCCCUUAGGGCCGGGCGAUACAGGAAGGGGGACCUGCUCGUGAGCACAGCUGGGCGAUGGGAUGCCAACUCCUUGCCCAGGUAGCCCCAGGACGGCGCUGCAGCAGGAGUGUCCCUGAUCCCGGGUGGUCGCUCUCCAGCCCGCCAGGCUCUCCGACGGGCUCAACCCGCAGCCCCUGGCCGGGGCUGGGGCCGGGACGCCAGGCCCCUGUGGGGACGGUUCCCUCCAGCAGUUGGCGAGGCUCGGCCGGCCAAGGGGCCGGUUCCUCCCGCUGGCAGCCGCCCGGCCGCCGCCUUCCGCCCUUGCCCGCCCGCGGCCGUCCCCGAGCCGCUCCCGGCCGGGCCUUGAGCGCCUUUUCCUCUUCCCGGCGCCCCGGCCGCCCGGCGCGUCCAGCUAAGCAGGAAGGGCCCGCCCGCGCCCAAGGCCAGGGCCUCAGCCGGAGGUCGCCCGCCGCCAGGGGCCGCUGCGGCGCCGGGGACGCGCGAGGCCUGAGGGUCUCCCAGGCGCGCCCAAGACCCAUCCGCGCCGGCCGCCUGCCCUGCUGCGUCUGCCCACUGCCCCUGGGGCGCGUGAUGGUCCCCUCGACGCUCCGCCCUGGCUUCCCCCAUUAGUGCCAUUAGUGCCUGUGUGAGUGGGACCUGGGUUGGAGGGACCUGCCAAGCUAACCCUAGGGGACCCCUCCUCCAGGGAGCCACCUCCCCCUCGCACUUUCGAGGGGAGUGGCUGCCCAGAGAUAACCAGAGACUGCAGGGCGCCUUGGGCCACCUCUCUGGAAGGCACAGACAGGUGCCAUCCUUUUCUGGGCCUGAAGGCUUUCCCAGAGAGCAGGAGGAGGAAGUCCCGGGAACAUCCCAUUAAGGAGAUGACACUCUCUUAGGUGUCUAUAAUAUCGCUGCUUUGGAAUCUCAGCGGCAGAAUUCAGGACCCCUGCCCUCAGAGUUUCAGUACAGUGUAGCCAUGAGGCACCCGGAUGGCUUGGGUUCAAAUCCCAGCUCUGCCAUUUUCCAGGCAAGUCCCCUAACUUCUCUGGGCCUAGGUUUCCCAUCUGUGAGAUGGGGCUGCUGAUGGUACCAGCCCCAUCGGGUUGUGGCAAGGACUGGACACCCAGUGCAGUUAAGCUCUAGCACAGCACCCGAGGUGAUGAUUACCAUCACUCGCUACAGUGGAUUGGACUCACAGGGUCAGGAGCCCAGAGACUUACAUUGGAGCACAGAGAUUCAGGGUCUUGAGAAAGAUAGCAGGAUCUACCUUGCAGGGAAUAUUUGGUCCAAAAUUUUCUCUUCCUGGGAAGAAAAGGAAAAUGAGAGGCCCCAGUACAUUGAGCCACAGUGGUGAAGUCUGUGCCAGGCCAAGACUGAGGCCUUGGAGAUGCAAACCAGCUAGGUGGCAGGGGCCAGUUGCAAAACACUUUGAGCCCCAGGCUCCCCAUCUGUAAAAUGGGCACUGCUGCCUCUCAUGCGGGGCACGUCAGGGAUGGGGUGUAGCACACAUAGGUGCUUAGCAAACAUGGGGAGGAGUCUCCCCUACUUUAUCACACAGCAAGGGAGGCUUUCAUGGGGAGACUGGGCCGGCUGUCUCCUUCUUCCCAGGAGAGAGUGAUGACAACAGCUGUCGGGCCAUCCUCGAAAGGUGCUGGGCAGGUGGAGGGCAGCCCUCGGUGCCCCUGGUUGUCCCCUGAGCCAUCCAUCCCUCUUCCCUGCUGUGGCUUCCAUGCCCUGAGCAGCAAGUGGGAGGUGAACAGUAGUUGGAGAGGGGGCAGGUGGGCACACCAGGUGUGGGUGCUUAUGAAGGCACAGAUUCAGAGCAGGGACAGGUUCAACAUCAGUGAGAUGGGGGCUUUGUGACCAUCUUCAGUAGCCUCGCACUGUACCUACAUGGAACUGAAGCAGAGGAGGAUAAGGGACUUGCCCAAAGCCACAUGGCCAGACAGAGGUGUGUAGGACGAAGUGGGCCAAGCCCGUAUGUCUCUUGCAUGAGCAAUGUCCAUGCCUGAUUCAUUUCUAUAGACCCCUCUGUAUCAGCAUGGAGCAGCAUGAAGAUAUAUUUGUUGAGUGGAUGACUGUGUCUGUCAGGCCACAUUACCAAAGGUCUAUACUUGCAACGAGGGAGGGGACAUCCAGUUUUGCUUUAUUCUCUGAGCUCUCUGGCUCCUAUGCUCAGCUCCAGACACAUCAGUGGACCCUGAGAUGAACAGCAAGCCCUGGAGACAGCAUUCUGUCAGGAGAUGGGGUGGCUCAGCUUGGAGGGGGUCCCCACUGCUGUCCCUAAUUCUCUGCAGGGUUGUCCUGGGGCAGAAGGGUUAGGAGGAGCUGGUAGAUCUGUGGGCAGGACCGGGACCUUGGGAAGACAGGUCCCAAGCUUAUGAAGAAGUCUCCCAGUUUUACUCAUAGCUGCCGUAUGGGGGUGAACAAGUUGGGACAGCUAUUUAGUGGAAAUGUUCAUGCAGUUAUUUUUCCAAAAGUCUUUAUCGGUCACCUACUGUGUGCCAGACACUGGAGCUGAUAUUAUUUUACUGGAGAAUUUGAUAGUCAACAAAUAAACAAAUCGAUAGUAUGACAUUAGAUGGAGACAAGUAGGAAGAUGAACAACAAAGCAGGACUGGGGUCAGAGGGCACCAGCGAGGGGCCUUGGUUAGACAGCGGGGCUGCCAUUGGGCGGGAAAUGGGAUGAUGUGAAAAGCGAAGCGAAGAGUGCGCCAGGCAGAGGGACCUGCAGGAGCAAAGGCUGGGAAGUGGGAAUGUGCUGACAAGAGGCGUGGCUGGAGUGUAGUGAGCGAGACUCCCGGGCAGUACUGUGCCCUGCACCCCAGUGCCCUCUUGCCUUCUGCCCGGUGCAGUCACCCCUUCCUUACUCAAGCCCGUUCCACAGCCCCAAAGCUCCACGGCCCCAAAGCUCCACAGCCCCAGAGCUCCACAGCCCCAAAGCUCCACAGCCCCAGAGCUGCGUGGCUCCGGAAGGCUGCGUCAACCCCAGCGACCACACGGAGGCAGCAGAGAACACGGCUGGGACGAGGGCGGAGGGUGAGGACUGAAUCUGAGCACCCUGGGGACUCCCAGGUAGCCGGGGCUGGAGACAGGACCCCUCCCUUGCUGCUUCUUUGUACCCAGCAUCACAUCUCUCUUCGAAAGUUCCUCCCUCCUAAGCAGCAUGAACAGUGCCUGCUGAAAUUACAGCUCCACUCCACUGCUCUGGAAGGCUCAUCUCUUCAAGCCUCCAUGCCUGCAUCUGUGAAGUGGCAGCAAGCAGAGUUUCAUCUCUAGGGGGGUACAUCGCAAGUGCUCGGGAACGUUGUCUUCUUGCAACCAUGUGUGCCUCACACAACUACCUGUGUGACUUUGGGCAACUCCCUGAGUCUCAGUUUCCACCCUCGUAAAGUGAUGGUAGGACUAUGGUGUGGGGAUCUUCUGUAUGCCAGGUACACAUGCAUAAUGCAUGCACAGAUCCUGGCACUUAGUCAAUGCCCAGUGACAAUAACUAGUAAUCAUGACAAUUGCAUUGAUGACCUGGGGGCUUAGAGUCGGGAGAGACCUGCUAUUCGGAGGAGAACAUUGAAGCUUGGGAAGAAGAGGUGUUUGCCCACCAUAUACUCACCAGGAAUGAGAGGCCCAGGGGUCCCCUCAAGACUUUUGUCCAUUUGACAGAUGGGGACGCUGAGGUCGGGAGAGGGUUGGCAGCCUGGCCAAGGCCACCCUGUGGCAGGCAUAGGACUAGAAUCCAAGAUGCCUGCUUCCCUUCACGGCUCAUCCAACCAUGUCUUGGGGCCCUCCCUUCUAGGGCAGGUGGUUUCUCAGGCUGCAGCUCCGGAUGUUCCUUUUUCUUCUCCAACCUCCCCCCGCCCACACCCAUGCCAGACUGUGUAAUCUUGGAAAGCUGCAUUCUUGGAAAUCUGGUCCCUUCUAGUCUUUGAAUUCUUCGAACUUCCUAUUGGAGCUGCGGC
This 8309-nucleotide long non-coding RNA is filed under the name Homo sapiens (human). RNAcentral's name for it is "non-protein coding LINC00620:10". The record is from RNAcentral. Lineage: Eukaryota; Metazoa; Chordata; Mammalia; Primates; Hominidae.